AGAGUUUGAUCCUGGCUCAGGACGAACGCUGGCGGCGUGCUUAACACAUGCAAGUCGAACGGAUCACCUUUGCUUCGGUUUUGGUGGUUAGUGGCGAACGGGUGAGUAACACGUGAGCAACCUGCCCUUCACUGGGGGAUAACUGUGGGAAACUUCAGCUAAUACCGCAUGUACACCUUCUAUCGCAUGGUGGUUGGUGGAAAGUUUUUUCGGUGGGGGAUGGGCUCGCGGCCUAUCAGCUUGUUGGUGGGGUAAUGGCCUACCAAGGCUUUGACGGGUAGCCGGCCUGAGAGGGCGACCGGCCACACUGGGACUGAGAUACGGCCCAGACUCCUACGGGAGGCAGCAGUGGGGAAUAUUGCACAAUGGACGGAGGUCUGAUGCAGCAACGCCGCGUGCGGGAUGACGGCCUUCGGGUUGUAAACCGCUUUCACCAGGGGCGAAUUUGACGGUACCUGGAGAAGAAGCACCGGCUAACUACGUGCCAGCAGCCGCGGUAAU
This 501-nucleotide ribosomal RNA is filed under the name uncultured bacterium. RNAcentral describes it as "bacterial SSU rRNA". It matches the Rfam family "Bacterial small subunit ribosomal RNA", at positions 8 to 524 of the family's 1533-position model. The record is from RNAcentral.